This 301-nucleotide ribosomal RNA is filed under the name uncultured bacterium. RNAcentral describes it as "partial 16S ribosomal RNA". It matches the Rfam family "Bacterial small subunit ribosomal RNA", at positions 509 to 807 of the family's 1533-position model. The record is from RNAcentral.
CAGCAGCCGCGGUAAUACAGAGGGUGCGAGCGUUAAUCGGAUUUACUGGGCGUAAAGCGUGCGUAGGCGGCUUUUUAAGUCGGAUGUGAAAUCCCUGAGCUUAACUUAGGAAUUGCAUUCGAUACUGGGAAGCUAGAGUAUGGGAGAGGAUGGUAGAAUUCCAGGUGUAGCGGUGAAAUGCGUAGAGAUCUGGAGGAAUACCGAUGGCGAAGGCAGCCAUCUGGCCUAAUACUGACGCUGAUGUACGAAAGCAUGGGGAGCAAACAGGAUUAGAUACCCCCGUAGUCCCUGUCUCUUAUAC